UACAGGGGGUGCAACCGUUGCUCGGAAUUAUUGGGCGUAAAGCGCGCGUAGGCGGCCACUUAAGUCGGAUGUGAAAGCCCCUGGCUCAACUGGGGAAGUGCACCCGAAACUGAAUGGCUUGAAUGCAAAAGAGGGUCGCGGAAUUCCCGGUGUAGAGGUGAAAUUCGUAGAUAUCGGGAGGAACACCGGUGGCGAAGGCGGCGACCUGGGUUGACAUUGACGCUGAGGCGCGAAAGCCAGGGGAGCGAACGGG
Molecule: ribosomal RNA, 253 nt
Filed under: uncultured bacterium
Lineage: Bacteria
Description: partial 16S ribosomal RNA
Rfam family: Bacterial small subunit ribosomal RNA
Source: RNAcentral